Molecule: long non-coding RNA, 741 nt
Organism: Pan troglodytes (chimpanzee)
Lineage: Eukaryota; Metazoa; Chordata; Mammalia; Primates; Hominidae
Exons: 3
Source: RefSeq, a predicted model, not a curated record
AGGAUCCAUCUGUGUGAGGCUGUGCUUUUUUGUUGUAAAUUACAGAAUCCUCUGGCUAGUGUAUGCAAAAGGAGAGGUAUAAAUGGCUACUAAUAGCUCCAAAAAAUCAUUGGGAGGGUUGAAGGUACACAAUCUAGACUGAACCUCUCAAAAGAACCGGUCUACUAAGGGAGCUGUUGCCAGCAGGGCCCCAGAAGCACCAGGCCUCUGCCAUGAUCAGGAAGCUGCUGGGUCCGUAGCUGCCCUGCCCCUGCUGGCUAUUGCCACUAUGCUUGCCAGAAGGUCCCCUCUCCCUGCACAAGGCCAACAGCUGACUUUUUUCACUCACUCCUUCCAAGACUCACAUCACUCCAUCUGCUUAGCAGAGGCUAAGUCACAUGAGGAGCUCGAGCUGCAAGUAAAAAGAAGAGAAGCUGCCUUCGGGUGGUGGAGUCUUUAACCCACUUCUCUUCUGCCGAGACUGAAAAGGAUCCAAAUCUCAUGGCAUUAAGGUCAAAGAAAAGGCUUGGCCAGCAGAGAAAGGAGAAGCAGGUGGACAACGAGGACUAUGGUUGGAAGUUGGAGAGAAGCAGCUUGACUUCAGAGGGACAGCUUGAUGGCAUAGCUUCAGAGAGGAGUCUGACUGGGGAUAGCCAGACUUCAGGGGAAGAUUACCUUCCUGCUCCAUCCCCUCUUUGGCUCCCCUUCCUGCUGAGAGCCACGUUCAUUGGCAAUAAAGUCCCCUGCAUUUACCAUCUUCAA